Molecule: ribosomal RNA, 253 nt
Filed under: uncultured bacterium
Lineage: Bacteria
Description: partial 16S ribosomal RNA
Rfam family: Bacterial small subunit ribosomal RNA
Source: RNAcentral
UACGAAGGGGGCUAGCGUUGCUCGGAAUCGCUGGGCGUAAAGCGCACGUAGGCGGAUUGCUAAGUCAGGGGUGAAAUCCCGGAGCUCAACUCCAGAACUGCCUUUGAUACUGGCGAUCUUGAGUCCGGGAGAGGUGAGUGGAACUGCGAGUGUAGAGGUGAAAUUCGUAGAUAUCAGGAAGAACACCAAUGGCGAAAGCAGCUCUCUGGGACGGUACUGACGCUGAGACGCGAAAGCGUGGGGAGCGAACAGG